Molecule: RNA transcript, 6324 nt
Organism: Cygnus olor (mute swan)
Lineage: Eukaryota; Metazoa; Chordata; Aves; Anseriformes; Anatidae
Gene name: translation initiation factor IF-2-like
Exons: 6
Source: RefSeq, a predicted model, not a curated record
GAUCGCUAAAACUCCGUCCUCGGCUGCUUCUCCCCCCCCCACCUCCGCCCCGGCUUCCUCCUCACGUCCGGCAUGCCGCUCGGCCGUACCUAUCCUUGGCGGAUCUCAACCCGAGGGGCACUCGAGGCUGAGAUCUUCCCCGAGGCGUGUGAGGCGAGCGGGAGCGAGCUGCUUUGCUCGAAGCGAGCGGGGCCGCGCUAGCUGAAGGCAUUUCUCUCCGCCGGGGAACGGGACGAGCAGUGGCCGGGGCUGGUUUUCCCCCGUAGGGAACGGCACUCGGAGAGCAGGUACGGUCUGCUUUGGUCCGGACCGGGGAGCCCAGGAGAGCUCCUAGCGAGGCCCCAGCUCCCUCCGCCACGUCCCUGCCCGGCUUCAGCCCCUCCAGCGCCGCGGCUGAGCGAGGGAGGGGAGGCGGCGGCUGGGGUUUCAUUCGACGCCCACCAGGGGCUGAGCGAGCCUCCUUCAGUGCGCAAACUCGGGGCACCAGAUAAAAGCUGGGCUGGCAGCCCUUACCCUGCCUCGAUGGAGCCGCCACAAGCGGGUGACUGGAGAAGCAGUUAGCAGCAGCGCCAUAGCCUAGCGUCCCCCCACACCUUGGGCAGAGAGAGUUUGGGGCUCUAAACAGCUGCUGCUGCGGCAGGAGGGAGCCGAGGGCGCUAUGGCCGGGGCUGCUCGCUCGGGUUCUGCCUGUUGUUGCGCGAAAUGGCGGCCGGCGUCUUGGUGAUCUGUAUCAGGGUGGAUGAAGUCACCAGGAGGAUGGCAAGCAGGUGUGGGAUCACUACAAAGCCUUUCCCUACAACAUUAGGAUGACUUGCACUUCUCCCCAUCUUGUUCAUUGUCCAGUACAUUGCCUUUUGCUUUUAUUCUGUGGUUAUUAAUCAUGGUGAUAAUCCUUGGAGCCAGGUUUGUAUUGGUGCUAGCCCUUGUCCCGGGAGAGAUGAAAGCAUGCCCUGGGUUGAAAGCAUGACAGGCAAGGGGACAGACCAUGGGGUGGACUUGUGCGUCAGCCCUAGCAGGCUGACAGGCAGGUGGAGGUGUCCAUGCUCUUAUCUAUUGAAGAAGACAGUGGAAGAAGUAGCAAGGUUGCCUUUGCCUUCACUGGGAGGUUUCCUUUGCAGCUUAUAUUGCUUCCUGCCAGGCAUGAAAAUCAAACCCCUUUGUACACAGGAAUAAUUCAGUCCACCUCAAACCAAUUCCAGUCCACUUUGCAAACGAAACAUGAGAACCACUAAAAAUAAUCAGCGACAGGGCAAUAAAUAAAUAAUCAGCCACUUUGUCCAGCGAGAAAUACUUUCUGACUUGGUCAUCUGAAAGUAAUUGUCCGUGCUGAAACUGGCUAAGAGGUUAUCAUAUCUACAGCACAUAGCUGAUCCUCUCUUUGGAAAAUAGUGGGCUGGAUACUUUUUGAGGUCCUUUCCAGAUAUGAUUGUAAUGAUAAUGCUAUAGAAAUUACUUGAGAACCCUCCCCUUUGAACAGGGAAUGUUUGAUAAUUUUGCCUUUUUUCUGGAACUCAUGAACACUUUAGAAGUUUUCAAGGCCAGUGUUGAAUUGUUACAAGUCUUGGAAGUAUUGUGAAAGAAAAAAGACCAAAGAGCAGAGGAUGAACAGAAAGCUUAUUUUCUAAAAUGCUUUAGUCUAAACAAAUAUUUAAAAUCUGUGAGUACCAUUACAUUCAGAAAAUGUAGUAGAAAGGGAAAUUUUACACACAAGAUGCUGUUUAGAUUGAUAUUGGGACAACUGGUGUACUUGCAAAGGAGCAAAACCAUCUGAAAUAAACAGGUUAUUCCUCUGAAAGGAUACCUAUAGUCUUCUGUAAGGGAAAAAAAGACACUUUUAAGUCUUGAGAAAUUAUUUAAAUUAAUGUGAAAAACCAAAGAUAUUCCAAUGACCUCUGGAUGGCAGGAAAAAAUAAAGCUGUGACGUCUCAGGACACUAUUAACCAGGAAAAAUCUACACGGGUAAAAACAAGAUUGCCACAGGCAGCACUGACCCUAAAGUCAAUUUCAACACUUAUUCUUAGGGCUUUAAUUCAAGAGUUUACUGAAGCUCGAGUGGACUGAAUAAUAAAAAAGGAAAUAAUAAUAAUAAAAAAAGUUGUCUCUGCACUAUUUCAAAAUGUGACUGAACCUCAGUUGGGCUAAUUCUUUGCAGCUGCCCAAGCAGAAAGCCAGACCUUUCAGGUGUCAAGUUAUGGGCAGAACAGGAGGAGUUCUGGCAUCCUCACAAACAGGAAACUUCUGGGCAAGGGAGAGCCCAGAAAAUGUCGAAGUGCCCAGUACUGCUCUCCCACAUGGGCUUUGUAAGCACCAGGAUAAGAAGCAUACAGCAGGAAGGUAGACCACAGUGAGGGGAUUCCAACAACCAGGCCAUGGGAAGGCCUGGCAAAAGAUGUGCCCUGACUUUACUCAGUUCACCCAGGAUUCAAUUUUAGCUAUUUUAGAUAGGAACAGAAAGUAGGGGCCUUUGAUGCACAGGCACAGUAAAAUUAGUGGAGAGGUUAAAAACCUCUUCUGCUGCAUAGUCCUGCCAAUGUACGUCAUUCCUCCCUCUGCCCUCCCUCCCUCAUGCUGACUAAUCCUCUAAUCCUUUGCCAUUUGAUCUCUCCUCUCGGUAAUUUUAUUUUACUUUUUUUCUGUUUGAAAAUACUUGGAGCCCUUCUGAUUUCUUUGCUUUAUUGUAUUUCCCUUCAAACAAAUGCUCUCUGAUAGAGUCAGUCUUUGACACAGCACCUUCCCUUCCCCUAACAUGGUCUGUCUUCCAAUGGGAUAGACCCUCUACUUCUGCACAUCUGCCUGGGUGUCUGAGCUCACACGAAAUCUGACACAUUUGAAAACUUCUUGUCCAUGCUGUUCAUGCUUGCAUAUCAAGAAAUCUUUGUUCAUGAACACAAUAUAUGUAUGUAAGUGAAUUAACUUUUCUGAAUGCCAUCUUUAGUUUUGUUUCCCAAAACUGUGGAGGGUGCAAUCAAUCAGAUAGGAUGAAUUCAGAUUAUUAGAGAAUGUUUGGGGCACUCAAGUGAAAAAAACAAGCAAACAAUAAUGUCAUCCUUAAAAGCCAGGGCUCUUCCCCAAGAGGCUGUAUCUAAAAAUAUCCCAAACUGAGACAUUAUGUCUACUCUGUGCUGUCAUGAGUCACAUAAAAUCUCCAGGAAAUCUGAACAGGUAUGUGAAAUGUAGAGGAUUUAUAUAAAUCAGCUUGAACAGAAAAGCAUGGUCCAUCUCAGCUGCCACAGAGCUGCUCUCCUGCUGCAGUUUCCUGGGAUUCUGCUGAGAUAAUCUGCCUCCCAAUCUUUUCCUUCACUUUGACGGCAACAGGAAAACAAGGGAAAAUAUCCUCUCUCUGGGACCCAUUCCCAUGUUUCUCAUGAAUGUUCCUGUUCCUGAAAUCAAACAUCUAUAAAAUAAAAACUGAGGGAAUAAAGAAUACGUUGGGAUGAAAACUUUGAGGAAGGUGUGGAGCUUUUUUGGGAGGAGAGAGGAGAUAGAAGACGAGCUUGGAGAUGCAUCGCACAUAACAUCAGCUCUCUAGGAGUCAGGCAUCGAGUAUGAGGCUCUGGGCAGGGACAGGAGACUCAUUUCAUCCAGGGAUGGUUCCUAGUACAAGUGAGCACCCGUUGGCUCCUGCAGGACUGUAGACAUUGGAGGAGACUGGAGACCUGAGUCUGAGAUGGACAGAGUGAGAUGUGUGAAUCCUGGACAAUGGGAUUUAUAAUUGUCCUGCACAGAGCGAUUAACAGCAUGAAUAGGAACAUAAACAGAGAAGCUACUGCCCACACAGAGAGAUGAUCUUCAGCCUGAAAUAUCAAAAUAUUAGGCUGUUGUGGAUUAGUUGCUUGUAGCAGGUUGACAGAGAGCUUGUUGAGCACAGCUUGAUGGCUGGUAUUUUUAGUCCUGUUACUUAUCAGGCAACUGCAUGCCCCAACUGCCUUUAUGGAGGGGUGAAUGGCUUCACAGGAGGUGAGUCUGAAGCUUCAGCUCCAUCCUAGGAGGGCUGAGCACCCAGGAAGAUGAGAUCCACAGCAUACAGGCUGGUGUGCCUGGUGCAGGGAUGCAAGGAGCCAGCCAACCUGGUGGGAAGCGUGAGCCAAGCUGAGUAUCACAGCCAGCUCAGCUGCUCUUGUCAGUGAGAUCUUACACCAGGGGCAGGUGCAUUGUGACUGCAAAAAGUUGAGAACUGGGGCUAGAGCAGCUUCAAGAAGGCACCUCAUCACAGCCUGACAAUUUUCUUUCAACAGGAUCCUCCUUCAAAUGCACCUAAACAUAACCAGAUGGCAGUGACAGGCUCUGAAACCCCGAAUCUGGGCUGGCUUCAAGCUCCCCCUGCCACCCUGCCUAGUGCCUGGCUUGGGUGGCCUCCUGGUUUGAAUGUGGCUCCAAGCAUGUAGCAUAUGCGUGUGCUUUGGUGAGAAAGGCAGGAGGAGAGUGACAAGCAGAGGGAAGAGAGACCUAUCCACGAGUAGGGUAAAGUCAUAGCUGUCAUCCCUGUCAUCUGUCAGCAACAGCCUGUGCUGAUGGGAACGGGGCUGCCUUGGGCGACAGCUCCACUGCCUUGCUACCAGCAGCUCUUGGGUUCCUCAGCUGGACGGCUUGGUGCCAGCACCACGGGACCUUCUGAGCCAGCACAACUGCUCCUGUGCCACACAGAGAGUGCUGAACAAGGGAGGAGGCUGUGCCUCUGCUUGAGGAGGGCACCGAGACACUGGCAUGUAGUGACCAGAUCCAGCGGAUCAGCGGGGAGCAUUUUCUUCCAUUUCAAUAUUUGCUCUGUGCCUAUCGAGAAAAAGAAGAUUUUUUAUCACAGUGAACAAACAGAGCAAAGAGCCUCCCAUUCUUUCUCCAAAAGAGCUUUCUUUUACUGCGGAACAGGAAUUCAGGAGGCAUCAGAGAGCUGCUCCUUCCUGCGGUGGUUCCCCUCCAGAAGGCUCAUCAAUUUGUCUUUUGUACUUGCUGGUGUUUCUGGGGCGUUUGGGAUGGCAGUCACGUCUCAAGACAGGUUUGCUGGCAUGGGGGAUCUAGUAUGUUGUUAGAAGGACUGGAGAGAGGCUGAAAUGCCUUCAUCAAUAACGUCUUUUACGUGAAGUAGCUUCCCGCUCCACGGAGUUGUAGGCUCAAGUCAAACAGAAUCAGUUCCUUGUUGUUCAUCUAUUUUUAUUUCCUCCGUGUGGUUUGCUGCAGUCUUUCUUUACCCAGAUGGUCAAAUAAAUUGCUGUCACUGAACAGUAGUCCCUGAACUGUGAUUCCCAAACCCUUCCUGUUCCUUAGCUGUUGAAUGAGGAAAUGUUUUACUUCCUUCAUAUUCCACACAUUUGCUGGCAUCGCUUUUUAAUUUCUUUCUUGGAACCCAGAGGAUCUGUAGGUAUUUUUGUUUGUUUCAAGACCCUUCAGGCUGCGUGAUCAGACUGCUCAGAAAGCUCUGCAUCAUCUUUAUUUAAAAACUGUUAGGAACUUUGAUCUCUACUUGUUUCCUGACAGCCCUGCUGAGGACAAGGCCGUGUCGGUGUAGGCACCCAGACAGAGUCCUGAGCAGAAAGGCCAGAAAAUGUUUGGAUUGUCAGCUUAUAUUUUUAUGUUUUCUUCAUUUUGUUAAUAAUAACAGUUUUAUAUCUAGUGUUACUAGCUUUGUAUCCUCCAGGAGCUUUCUGGUGCUGUUCUGCAUGAUGUUAGAAGCUGACAUUGGCGUACCUUUGGUCUGGGAAAACAAAUCUUGCUGACACUGAUGCAAAGCACUACUUUUCUACUUUUGGCUAAGUAAUCAGAAAGAAGCCAAAAACUAUCCUGGGGUGCCAAGGGCUGUCAGCAAGGCUGAGCUGGGGGAGAGCCAGUCACCAGCUCCCAUGCCAUGCUCAGGCUCUGUGUUGGUUUGAGCCUGCCCGUGUGUGCAGUGGGCGAGAGGAGUUCAGCCCAGGGAGAGAGCCAGGAUGCUGGAGAAGAGCCAUGAAGCUGCCAGCCAGGAUCUCUGAACAAGGAAACCACUACAAUGUGGCUCAUUUUGCUGUGGUGAAAGAAACGGAGGUUGGCUCUUUUUUUUCAAGAGAUUGGAUUUCUCCAGACAAUUUCCUGAUCCAUGUAAUGAGUUUUUCCUUCCAGCAGAAAGAAGCAGGGCCACGACAAUUUUCUGGCCACUCUUCCAUGCUAAAAGGAAAUUAUCUGUGAAUCAAACUUCCUGAAAUGAUUCGCUGAUUUUCAAAUGCUGUACUUCAUUAAAACAACUCCAAGAAAUUUGGUUUCAGUAUCUCAGAAAACAUAGUAAAAAUAUCAGUGCUAGCAAAUCUUAAAUGCUGCAGAACAAUAAAAGCUUUUAAACUGUCUUUUCUUUGUGUCAAA